AGCCAUAGCUCAAUGGUGCAGCAUCUGCCUAUCAUGCAGAAGGCCCCAGGUGCAAUGCCUAGCAGACCCAGGUAGGGCUG
This is a non-coding RNA of Podarcis lilfordi (Lilford's wall lizard), 80 nucleotides long. Lineage: Eukaryota; Metazoa; Chordata; Lepidosauria; Squamata; Lacertidae. The record is from the annotation of a GenBank genome assembly.